This 850-nucleotide long non-coding RNA is filed under the name Sus scrofa (pig). RNAcentral describes it as "lncRNA (ENSSSCG00015048240.1)". Lineage: Eukaryota; Metazoa; Chordata; Mammalia; Artiodactyla; Suidae. The record is from RNAcentral.
AACAAUUCAUAGACACUUUGAGGACCACUGCUUGGACUUGCUCUGGUCAUCUGUAUACCCUUUCCCUCUUGUUUUCCUCUAUUCAUUUUUCUCCCUUGAACUCCUUAUCUCUCUAAUCCCUCCUCCUGAAUGCUCUUAUUUUAUCUCUCCCUCCACUUUUAUCUUUUCCUCCAGGUCGCCUGAGUCUAUCUUCUCCCCAAGUCAGGCUCCCCAGGCUUUCUUGGCCCCCUGACCCCUCCUUCCUCUCCCAGGACUGUAUUUCCCCUGCCUCUCACUUGCCUCCCAGCAACCUAAGCAGAACAAUACUGGAAGUGGAACUGGCACUCUGACAAAAAGGAGAGCAAUUGGAAAGAAAACUUUACUCAUCAAGAAAGAGGGCUUAAUACUGAUGAAACAAAACCGAGGGCUGCUGUUUUUCUCUGAGCCUCUUCCCAAGCCUCUGCUCCAGCAAGACCAAAUUUAUCCCCACUGUGGUGCUCUGGCAGGUCAGAAGACUGGAGAGAGAGGUAAGUGAAGGAUACAACUAGAUGUUUCAUGUUGGUCCACUUAGCUCUCAUGACAGUGGGACAAAAUCCAGGCCCUCUCUGUGCUUGUUGGCAGAUGAACAAACUAGAGGGAAGGCCUCUCUGAGGAGGUCUGGGGACUCUAGCAGGGAAUAACUGGAAUAGGUGGGAGUAAGCUUGCUUGAAGCUCUUGUACGCGGUUACAAAGUGGGACUGUGACGCUCAUGAGGUGAAACUCUUGGUCUAAGCUCUCAGAUCUAAUGCGAGAGUUUCAGCUUUAUCAUUUUCUUUGUCUCUCUAGGCCCUUUGUCUUAGCAAAUGGUUCUUAUUAAAAACUGAGUAUCUAA